Molecule: RNA transcript, 1265 nt
Organism: Etheostoma cragini (Arkansas darter)
Lineage: Eukaryota; Metazoa; Chordata; Actinopteri; Perciformes; Percidae
Gene: cbx1b
Gene name: chromobox homolog 1b (HP1 beta homolog Drosophila)
Exons: 7
Source: RefSeq, a predicted model, not a curated record
ACCACGGUUACCGUGAUGAGCAAAUCCAUUCGCUUUGGAAUCUUUGAGUCUGCGUGGUCCUCGCGCUCCAACCAGCGGUGUAGUUUUUCUUCCCAGACGAAGGGGCGGAAACGCUACACGACGGUAGUCGAGCUAUCGGCUCGGUAUUUCAACAACAAGUCAAGACAAACAGCGACGUUAGCUCACAAUACUUAGGAGACAAAGACUGUCGGUUUGUUUUAGCGUCGGUUCAGGUGGAAGUUUACGUGUUUUCUUUAAUUGUAGCGUUAAGUCAUCGUAACCUGCUGUUCCCCAGGUCUACCUGAUGAGUAUGAGCCUGACCACAGAACCCCCUAGCGAUGUUCCUGCUGUUACAGAAGAGAGCAAAAUGACUGCAGUCGAGAAGCAGGACAAGAAGCCAGAUGAUGUGGAAGAGGAAGAGGAGGAAGAGGAAGAAUACGUGGUGGAAAAGGUCCUGAAUCGGCGGGUGGUGAAAGGGAGAGUAGAUUAUCUUCUCAAGUGGAAAGGCUUCUCUGAGGAGGACAACACGUGGGAGCCAGAAGACAACCUGGACUGUCCAGAUUUGAUCGCAGAGUUCCUGCAGUCCCAGAAAUCAGCACACGAGGGUAAGAGGAAGGCGGCCGGAGACGCAGAAGGAGACGAGAGUAAAACAAAGAAGAAAAAAGACGAUACAGAGAAGCUAAGGGGCUUUGCUCGAGGGCUGGAUCCAGAAAGGAUUAUUGGGGCCACAGACUCCACAGGCGAGCUCAUGUUCCUCAUGAAAUGGAAAAACUCUGAUGAAGCCGACCUGGUGCCGGCGAAGGAGGCCAACGUGAAGUGUCCGCAGGUGGUCAUCUCUUUCUAUGAGGAGAGACUUACUUGGCACUCGUAUCCCACUGAAGACGAGAAAAAAGAUGAGAAAAACUAACACAGGGCGAAGGGGUAGGGGGAAAGAAAGAAAGAAACUGUAGUUUUCAACUUCAUUGUACAUGUACAGUACUUUCCAGAGGUAUUUUGGGGCAAUCGGGGGGGGGGCAGAGACCACCAUUGGACUCAUUCGUCUUAUGGUACAGUAUCACUCAUUUGAUUCUUUUAUCUGGAUAGUCAAACUGUAAAUAUGCUUCAGGUUUGCUUGACAAAACCCAACUGAAAUUUAAAAAAAAAGCAGUGUUAAUUUUCAGUGUCGACUCGGCCGCUUCAGGAUCAUUUCACACAUCUGGUCCAGUGCUCGGUCGUCUUGCUAUGAGAUUGUAUCAGUCAGGUGGGUUUAUUUCAUUCAUGCCUUU